Drosophila santomea is the source of this 426-nucleotide long non-coding RNA. RefSeq lists it as uncharacterized. The transcript has 3 exons. Lineage: Eukaryota; Metazoa; Arthropoda; Insecta; Diptera; Drosophilidae. The record is from RefSeq and is a predicted model, not a curated record.
UUAUGCGAUCGAAAAAUCUCCAGCCAUUCGACUUCUUACACUUGUUUAUAUCGAUUACAUUUCUGUGUUGUUGAAGAAACAUAUGUUUUUUCGAUAAUCGAUUGCAACACGGCGCUCAUUUAGUGUCAAAAAGUUCCUGGAGUAACAAGUACAAAGUGAAUUAAGUGAAAUAAUUGAAGAACAAUGUGAAAAUGGGCACGGUGUGCAGGUUAAAAAUCGACUUCUGAGAAAUAUGCCCAGAGAAAGAGCGUGCAUUGUUUUCGAAGUAGGACGACCUGAAGCGCAGUGUUUCCUUUUUACGAUAGGAAGAUUAAAAACUAUCUCAGCAGGCAACAGCUUACCGAAGCACAGCCGGCAAUAAAUGAAGAUACCCAGGACUCUAUUUGUUAUUUUGCUUGACACCGCGUUUCGUUAAAUAUGUUUAGC